CCCAGACUCCUACGGGAGGCAGCAGUGGGGAAUAUUGCACAAUGGGGGGAACCCUGAUGCAGCGACGCCGCGUGGGUGAAGGAGCACCUCGGUGCGUAAAGCCCUAUCGGCAGGGAAGAAACAGACGGUACCUGACUAAGAAGCCCCGGCUAACUACGUGCCAGCAGCCGCGGGAAUACGUAGGGGGCAAGCGUUAUCCGGAUUCACUGGGUGUAAAGGGAGCGUAGACGGCGACGCAAGUCUGGAGUGAAAGCCCGGGGCCCAACCCCGGGACUGCUCUGGAAACUGCGUCGCUGGAGUACGGGAGGGGCAGGCGGAAUUCCUGGUGUAGCGGUGAAAUGCGUAGAUAUCAGGAGGAACACCGGUGGCGAAGGCGGCCUGCUGGACGGAUACUGACGCUGAGGCCCGAAAGCGUGGGGAGCGAACAGGAUUAGAUACCCUUGUA
This 445-nucleotide ribosomal RNA is filed under the name uncultured bacterium. RNAcentral describes it as "bacterial SSU rRNA". It matches the Rfam family "Bacterial small subunit ribosomal RNA", at positions 330 to 792 of the family's 1533-position model. The record is from RNAcentral.